AGGACGAACGCUGGCGGCGUGCUUAACACAUGCAAGUCGAGCGGUAAGGCCUUUCGGGGUACACGAGCGGCGAACGGGUGAGUAACACGUGGGUGAUCUGCCCUGCACUUCGGGAUAAGCCUGGGAAACUGGGUCUAAUACCGGAUAUGACCUCCUAUCGCAUGGUGGGUGGUGGAAAGAUUUAUCGGUGCAGGAUGGGCCCGCGGCCUAUCAGCUUGUUGGUGGGGUAAUGGCCUACCAAGGCGACGACGGGUAGCCGACCUGAGAGGGUCGACCGGCCACGACUGGGACUGAGACACGG
This 301-nucleotide ribosomal RNA is filed under the name uncultured soil bacterium. RNAcentral's name for it is "bacterial SSU rRNA". It matches the Rfam family "Bacterial small subunit ribosomal RNA", at positions 26 to 329 of the family's 1533-position model. The record is from RNAcentral.